GACGAACGCUGGCGGCGUGCUUAACACAUGCAAGUCGAACGGAAAGGCCCUGCUUUUGUGGGGUGCUCGAGGGGCGAACGGGUGAGUAACACGUGAGUAUCCUGCCCUUGCCUUUGGGAUAACUUCAGGAAACUGGGGCUAAUACCGGAUAGGAGCUCCUGCUGCAUGGUGGGGGUUGGAAAGUUUCGGCGGUUGGGGAUGGACUCGCGGCGUAGCAGCUUGUUGGUGGGGUAGUGGCUUACCAAGGCUUUGACGGGUAGCCGGCCUGAGAGGGUGACCGGCCACAUUGGGACUGAGCUACGGCCCGGAGUCCUACGGGAGGCAGCAGUGGGGAAUAUUGCCCAAUGGGCGGAAGCCUGAUGCAGCAACGCCGCGUGCGGGAUGACGGCCUGCGGGUUGGAAACCGCUUUCGCCUGUGCCGAAGCGUGAGUGACGGUACUGGGUAAAGAAGCACCGGCUAACUACGUG
RNAcentral lists this ribosomal RNA (468 nucleotides) under uncultured bacterium. Its description in RNAcentral is "partial 16S ribosomal RNA". It matches the Rfam family "Bacterial small subunit ribosomal RNA", at positions 28 to 507 of the family's 1533-position model. The record is from RNAcentral.